GAUGUCUGAUUAGCUAGUUGGUGAGGUAAAGGCUUACCAAGGCGUCGAUCAGUAGCUGGUCUGAGAGGACGACCAGCCACACUGGGACUGAGACACGGCCCAGACUCCUACGGGAGGCAGCAGUGGGGAAUUUUGGACAAUGGGGGAAACCCUGAUCCAGCCAUGCCGCGUGAGUGAAGAAGGCCUUCGGGUUGUAAAGCUCUUUCAGCCGGAACGAAACGGUCACGGCUAAUACCUGUGACUACUGACGGUACCGGAAGAAGAAGCACCGGCUAACUACGUGCCAGCAGCCGCGGUAAUACGUAGGGUGCGAGCGUUAAUCGGAAUUACUGGGCGUAAAGCGUGCGCAGGCGGUUUUGUAAGUCAGAUGUGAAAUCCCCGGGCUUAACCUGGGAACUGCGUUUGAAACUACAAAGCUAGA
RNAcentral lists this ribosomal RNA (421 nucleotides) under uncultured Nitrosospira sp. Its description in RNAcentral is "bacterial SSU rRNA". It matches the Rfam family "Bacterial small subunit ribosomal RNA", at positions 232 to 645 of the family's 1533-position model. The record is from RNAcentral. Lineage: Bacteria; Pseudomonadati; Pseudomonadota; Betaproteobacteria; Nitrosomonadales; Nitrosomonadaceae.